GCUGGGCAUGGUGGCUCAUGCCUGUAAUCCCACCACUUUGGGAGGCUGAGGCAGGCGGAUCACCUGAGGUCAGGAGUUCGAGACCAGCCUGACCAACAUGGAGAAACCCUGUCUCUA
Unclassified non-coding RNA from Pongo abelii (Sumatran orangutan), 117 nucleotides. It matches the Rfam family "Metazoan signal recognition particle RNA". From Rfam's summary of the family: The signal recognition particle (SRP) is a universally conserved ribonucleoprotein. It is involved in the co-translational targeting of proteins to membranes. Lineage: Eukaryota; Metazoa; Chordata; Mammalia; Primates; Hominidae. The record is from Ensembl.